CAGGAGAUCCCCGCCGGCACCGGCCAGCGCCGACCCGGAGCAGCGCCGCCGCCCGCCAGCGCCCCCACCCCGCCCGGGCCUCCGCCCGCCCACUCAGCGGCGGCUUUUCUUUCUUCCAAUUUUCUGUCCCUUCUCUCUGUUGGACUCUCCAGUUGCCUCUCCCCUUUCCCCACACUCGGGGCUCCUCUGCCCUGCUCCUUGCUUCUGGAGCUGGGGCAGCCGCGCUCCCACCUGCCGCCUGAGCCCUGCCCCUGCCCGGGUGGAGGGGGACGCUGCCCCGCCGCCUCCAGCUCCUGGAGGAAAACGUUUUGAAGCAGAACCCUGAAACAUGCAUCUGGGACAACUGCCCUUGACGCUUUUGGUGCUUAUGCUUAGGGGCACCUCAGAAACCUGUACUUCACGUCCUCAUAUUAAUGCCGUUGAAGGAGAACCUUUCUUUCUGAAAUAUUGCCCACUUUCUCCUGUGCAUGAACCAAGCACCACAAAAUGGUUCAAAGCCAGUGAGUCAGAUGGAAAGGUUGAGCUACGCUCGAGCAGUUCACCCAGAAUUACUUUGCACGAUUAUGUCCUGGAGUUUUGGCCAGUUGAGCUGGAUGACAGUGGAUCUUACGUUUUCCAGAGGGGAAAUGAUACUCAUGAUUGGAAAAUGAAUGUCAUCAGAAGAAGUAAACACAGCUGUUUUACUGAAAGACAAGUAACUAGUAAAACUGUGGAAGUUGGAAAGGCUUUGCAGGUGGACUGUAGCCAUAGUUACUAUCAAGACCUGGUCCACAGAACGGCACUGUAUAAGAACUGUGAAAAGAUAGAGAACAAUAAAAACCCAUCUUUAAAGAAGAAUGCAGAGUUUAAAGACCAGGGAUAUUACACCUGCAUGUUUUUCCUUCAUCACAAUGGAAAACUAUUUAAUGUCACCAGCACCUACAAUAUAACAAUAGUUGAAGAUCGCAGUACUAUAAUUCCAGCUAUCCUUGGACCAAAGAUUGAACAUGUUGAAGUGGAAUUAGGAACAGAUGUGCAGCUCAACUGCUCUGCUUGGCUGAAUGAAAAGGAUUACAUCUAUUGGAGCUUCCAUAGAAAAGAUGGGCAGGACCCAAAUGAGCAUGAAGGGGAGGAAAUAAAGAUCAGGACUUCAGAAGGCAAAUGGCACGCUUCAAGAAUAUUGAGAAUUGAGAAUAUUAAUAAGAAAAAUCUAAACUUUUCAUAUAAUUGCACUGUGUCCAGCGACAAAGGCCCAGACACCAAACGCUUCAUCUUAUUGACAAAAGAGAGCGGGGCCCGCGAGAUGUGCACAGUGGGGUCAGCCGCGCCGGAACUCCGGACCCAAUGCCAAGCAGAGCAGGACGCACACAAGUUAUGCUUUUGCCCUCAGUGCCAAUCCUAUGUAGAAGCCAGGGGCCCGGAGCAGGGAGGCAGGUGGGCCAUGAGGAGAGAGUCCAGUCCCCGCAGGACACGGGGCGAGGGGGACGGGGGGGAGGGAAGCGCAGCUCAGCAUGGGUUGCAGCCAGCGGCACUGGAGGGGGUGCAGCCUUCUGCAGCUGGGUGGGCAGGGCCCUGGGAGUAUUCAUUCCUCCAUAACAGCCAGCGGAGGCCUCCCUGCCUCGGGCCAGACCCUGAACUUGGCAAGUGGACAAUGGACGGCCCUGGUCAGAGGACCCUUCGAGUUUUUCCAGAGCUGCCUCCGUCUUCCACUAGUAGCCCACCCAGAGCCUCCUGCUGCAGCUUCCCAGCAACAGCUGUGCCCAGUGGACAGCUGUGCUCCAGUGACUACUCACUCACACUCGCUCCCAGGCUGGCCACCACCCCAUAUGCAGGGAAAGGCUGGGAUCUGAGAGAGAGUGAGGCGGGGGGGGGGGGGGAGAGAGAGAGAGAGAGAGAGAGAGAGAGAGAGAGAGAGAGAGAGGUGUAUGCUGUGUCUUGCUUUGGUGAGAAACUGAAGGAGUGAGGGGCACAGAAGCUAAGACCUAAAGCCCCCCCUCCCCCCCACGUGUGGGGUCCUGGUUCCCAUCCGCGACUCACCUGGAGCACCUCUUCAAGGCCCUCAGUCCACCCACGUAUUCACAAGGAUGGCUGACGCUCUUCAUGCUCAUUCACACAGGCUGUGCUAGGCUCUGACCACCGCUCACCCUGUGUACAACACGUUACACAAGUAGACAGCAAAGCUAGACCCCACGGGCUGUGAGACCCCACGGGCUGUGAGACCCCACGGGCUGUGAGACCCUGAUGGGCUGUGAGACCCCACGGGCUGUGAGACCCCACGGGCUGUGAGACCCCACGGGCUGUGAGACCCUGAUGGGCUGUGAGACCCCACGGGCUGUGAGACCCCACAGGCUGUGAGACCCCAAGGGCUGUGAGACCCUGAUGGGCUGUGAGACCCCACGGGCUGUGAGACCCCACGGGCUGUGAGACCCCGAUGGGCUGUGAGACCCCGGGGGGCUGUGAGACCCCACGGGCUGUGAGACCCCACGGGCUGUGAGACCCUGAUGGGCUGUGAGACCCUGAUGGGCUGUGAGACCCCACGGGCUGUGAGACCCCAUGGGCUGUGAGACCCCACAGGCUGUGAGACCCUAAUGGGCUGUGAGACCCCACGGGCUGUGAGACCCCACGGGCUGUGAGACCACACGGGCUGUGAGACCCCCACGGGCUGUGAGACCCUGAUGGCCUGUGAGACCCCACAUGCUGUGAGACCCCACAGGCUGUGAGACCCUGAUGGGCUGUGAGACCCCGGUGGGCUGUGAGACCCUGAUGGGCUGUGAGACCCCACGGGCUGUGAGACUAAUAGCUGAGCUCGGGCCCUUGCCUUCUGUAGGAUCGUCACGAUGCCCGUCCGCCUCACGGGGCACACAUGCCGUGGCCCACGGGCAUGUGCAGGGAGGGUUUCCGGCAUUGCUUCUGCGUGCUCAUCGCAUGCCUGGGUUUGUGAUGAUCGUCACCAGCUCCUCCCCCCUUAUCAGUGCUGGAUGUCCUGUCCCUGCCACAGAGGGUUCCGCCCGGCCAUUCUCCUGCUGCUCUGCUUGCAGAUGUCAGCCAGCACAGGGCCUCCCCUGCACUGUCACCCCGAGGGAGUGCGCCCGUGUGAACGUGUGUGCGCGCAUGUGCACGUGGCACAGUCACAGACAGGCAGGCCUUUCACAGACCAGGAUCCUCAGGGACUGGCUUUAUUCGGAGUUCACUUAGUUAGCAAAUGUGGCCGCUUACUUACAUCCUAGUAGUCAAUUUUACUGGAAAGAUCAUCCCUAACAUUUGUGCCAAGAUGUCAAGAGCUUUAUGCAUUUCUGCUCUUCGAUCUGGAAAUCCUCAGCGUUCAGAACCUGCUCUAGCAGAAUCAUCAAGCACAAGCAUAAAGCCGCGGCCAGAGAUUUGUGUGUUCCACCCAGCAUCUUAGACCCCGAGAGGCCCGCCUUCCACCGACAGGGAUAGACGACAUUACAUGCUUUCAGUUCAGGUCUCUGAAUACCUUGCACACAUUUUAAUUUGUUAA
Myotis myotis is the source of this 3478-nucleotide RNA transcript. It is a transcript of the gene named interleukin 18 receptor 1, with no coding region annotated. The record is from RefSeq and is a predicted model, not a curated record. The transcript is spliced from 10 exons. Lineage: Eukaryota; Metazoa; Chordata; Mammalia; Chiroptera; Vespertilionidae.